Passer domesticus (house sparrow) is the source of this 2244-nucleotide long non-coding RNA. RefSeq lists it as uncharacterized. NCBI's taxonomy places the organism in Eukaryota, Metazoa, Chordata, Aves, Passeriformes, Passeridae. The transcript has 4 exons. The record is from RefSeq and is a predicted model, not a curated record.
UUAAAAUGGACCAUCUCUACAGGAUGCUUCAGCUGAUGGAGGUGGCUUAAAACAUACUCAGUUUCCUAAAGUAAAAUCUAAACCAUCUAACUUUGUUUGGAAAGUUUGAAUGCAUCUUAAUACACACCAUACAAAAAAACCCCCAAACCCUAGGUACUUACUUUCAACUUCCUCUACAGUGUUUUAAAAUAUAUUUGCUACAUUUUCUGAAGAUUUUUAUGUCUUCAGUCAUGAUCAGCAACAGACACUACUGCAAAAGACAGCAAAACAGCCCUGCAUUCACAUAAUGAACUCCCAGUGCUUCAAGGCUGUUUGUACAGGCAGAUAUUUGUGCCAGCAGUAAGAUUCUUGCAGGACUGUGGCCUCAGAUUAGAAGUAAUAUAUUAAACAGAAUAAAAAGAACCUGUGAAACAUAAAUGAUCUUGCCAUACAUUUGUUUCUAUUGUUAAUAUAGAUGAGGAUGUUCAUAGCUUCUAAAAGACUACAUUUUUUGCUUCAGCACAAGAAGCUGUUUUAUGUAUGAGCUGUAUGUAAUUAUAUUGAAAACAAACUUUGCUUCAAGAACAUUUUUGGCUCCACUCUGCAAUAACACAAAGGGCCUUUGUUAUGUUCUCAUCAGUGUUAUUUAUGGAUUGCAAAGGACUUACUAAAGGACAGUUUCAUCUGAUGGUAUUCAUCCACUGACCCAAAUUUAAAUGUAGUGACUUAUAUUCAUAUUAAUCAUAAUUACUAAUAUGAUCAACCAGACUAAAAUUUCUGAAACUAGAAAUGGGAUUACUCUAUAGAUUGAGACCUGGAACAGCAAUACAGAGUGGUGUUUCAGACCCAAGGCUUUGAAUGUGCCAGAAUGGAAAAUGCAACAAAAGGCUUUGCAUAAUUCACAUCAAUUACAAUCAUCUUCACUUGAAUUGAAAAUGAAGCUCUUGAUCUCUUAAAAAGAAAAAAAAAAAAAAAAAGGAAAAAGAAAAGUCACAGAGAGAGAACUAAGUAGAUGUUGGGAAAAAGGAACCCCAGAACAAAGUGUGUUUGUAAAUAUCUGCCAGAAGAUCCUAUAGGACAUUAUGAAGCUAGGUAAGGGCACUUUCCUCUGACUUGCCUAAACAGCCAUUAUAUUAAAGGAUUACUUUCAGAAAUCCUUCUUUGCCCAGAUUUUUCCAGCCUGACCUGCAGGACUUGAUGUUCUUCUUCAAACUCAGCAUGACUAUGGACAAGCUCUUUAGGGCCAUAGCCAGACUGCAUGCUGUCAGUACAAAACUUUGUUUUGAAGUGCCAUGGAAUCUAUCCAUAAGAGUGUGCCACACAGCAAUUCAGAACACUAUUUAUACAAGACUGGAGGAUCCAGAUUCCAGAGAAACCGCUGAGGGGCAGCAGGUUUUCACAUGGAAACAGGCUUUCAUGUGUAAGGAAAUCUGGAGCUGUCCCUUCUGUGCUCAGCUGAGGACAAUUUCCAGACAUAGUUUUUCAGUAAUACCUCAGGACAAUCAGAUCUGAGAAGCCAUUAGAGGGCUCCCCUCCCGAGUGCUGUAGCCAUGCACAGAGCCACCUGGAGGCAGUGUUCGCACAGGAUGCUUCAGGCCUCUGCUUGUAAAGUUCAAUUUCCUGAGAUUUCAUAAUUUUUUUCCAGAAAAAAGUCUGGAAAAAAUUAUAUACUGGAAAGCGUGAUUUUUUUAAAAAGCCUUUGCCUUCAUAGGAUACAUCUUUGCUUUUCCAUGUGUCUGUAAUACUGUGAUGCUCCUGUGAAGUGUUUUUUAAUGAAAACCUUUGUAGGAGGAGCCAGCAGGAUAUUCCAGCAUAACAGCUGACAUAAUUGAAAAGAACAUGCAAAAUUUCCUGCGUGGAGCAGAAAAAUAGCACUUCUUGACCUAAAGCAUGACCUAAAGUAUUGUUUUUUCUCUUGAGUAGAACUGACAUAUUUUUUGUUUGUUUGAUUGAUUGACUGUUGGACUGACAGAUUAUAAAUAAAAAUGGAUCAUAGAACUUCCUUCUAGUGUUACAGUUGCCACUUGAUCUCUUUCUUCAAUUGCACAGAAACAAUAACAUGCAAAUAUUUGCAAAUGACUGCCACAAAACAUUCUUGAACCACCCAGCGACAACUGGUAAUGCUUGUAAAGCUUAGUUUGAUUGAUACAUGUUUGCUGUUGCUUUGUCAGUUGUGAGGUAAGUCAUACUUCUCCCCAUUCCAAACAUACGUUUCUCAAUCUGCUUUGAAAUUCUUACUCUCCACUCUGAUAGCAUCAAGUCCUA